UGGCAACAGGUCAACAGAGCAGCGUCAGAGCAGGAGAAGAGUUAUCCGACUAUCUUUCGUGCUUAGUCAGGAUGGCGUGUUUCCGUGGCAACCGGGAAGAUUUCUAUGGAGAAGUGCUCCUAUUGGACGACAGGAAGCUCUGCCUGACGUCAGAGCAGGGCAUCAAAAAGUCUUCCAAGGCGGCGGCCAUCUUGCGGCUCGUGUUUUUUCACCUAAAAAUCGCACAAGUCGAAUUAUUCGGUUUGAGAUUCUGCGACAGAAACCAGCAGACGGUAAUGGAGAACAUAUUUAACAACUACUGCGUCUCUUUUACAAAUGACUUAGUUUAGGAAAAGGGACCACAUUACUCCUGUUCUGGCUGCCUUACACUGGCUCCCUAUAGAACACAGGAUAGA
Notothenia coriiceps (black rockcod) is the source of this 395-nucleotide long non-coding RNA. RefSeq lists it as uncharacterized. The transcript has 3 exons. Lineage: Eukaryota; Metazoa; Chordata; Actinopteri; Perciformes; Nototheniidae. The record is from RefSeq and is a predicted model, not a curated record.